Molecule: ribosomal RNA, 253 nt
Filed under: uncultured bacterium
Lineage: Bacteria
Description: partial 16S ribosomal RNA
Rfam family: Bacterial small subunit ribosomal RNA
Source: RNAcentral
UACGUAGGGUGCGAGCGUUAAUCGGAAUUACUGGGCGUAAAGCGUGCGCAGGCGGUUUGGCAAGUCAGGUGUGAAAUCCCCGGGCUCAACCUGGGAAUGGCGAUGGAUACUGGCUCGCUAGAGUGCGGUAGAGGAGAGUGGAGUUCCCGGUGUAGCAGUGAAAUGCGUAGAGAUCGGGAGGAACAUCAGUUGCGAAGGCGGCUCUCUGGACCAACACUGACGCUGAGGCACGAAAGCGUGGGGAGCAAACAGG